UUAGCGGAAGUGGGGGGGAAAAAAAAACCCACGCAGCCCUACUUCGGGACGCACCUGCACAGCCCAGAGGACAGCCCACCAGCCUCCAAACAGUUCUGCGAAAAAUUAGGCUAUCUUUCAUUAGCUAUCUAUCAUGCGGCCUCCACCAGGCUGCAGGAUAUGAGGGCCAUUUAAUUAGGCCCUGCACCACUCUCCGGUGUGAAAAGGCUCUCAAACGCUUUGAUUCCCCGCUGCUUCGCAGCAGGAAGUUGUUGGCGAUAAUUGACAUAGGAUUUCCUUGUUAACCAGCAGCAGACACGCCGGAUUAAAGCGACAGAGAUCUCGAGAAGAAAGUGAAAGAGAUAAGAAGCUCGGAAGACUUCUGCUUAUUUGGCACUUGAGGAUGGCAGGAAACAGCAAUAACCCACUCAAGUGGCGACUCCAGAGUGGAAGGGCGUCCCCUUAUCAGACCCAUUUCAGCUUGGCUGAUCAAAGAUUGACUCCCCGCAAAAUCACAUAGGCCUGGGGUUUGUUAGUUUAUUAAGCGGCAGGUUUUAGGAAUUAUCACAGGUUUAAAGAUGGAUUGCAGUUUAUAUGAAGGGGGAGAGGAUUAUCGGGUUUUCAUCUUAACAAUUAUAAAAUAUCACAGCUGAAAGCUAGCUUGCAAAUGACAUAAUUUUCCACUGCCAACUAAACAGGUCAUUGUGAGGCUGCCUGUGAGCGCACUCAGUGAGGGAGGAAAUACAGGCAAAUUAACUCUGGGGAGGACCGGGGAUGAGGGGCCUCCAUGCCUUGUUCCACUUAGGAAGACCGUGCGAUCUCAUUUUGCCCUGUGCGAUUCCUUAGGUAUAACAUCCAAUUGCUCCUGUUGGAAGGAACAUUCUGCAUGCAAAUGGCAGACAUACUCUGGGGCACUCAAAUAUAUUGUUCCUGAAAGAAAGGAAGUGGCCUGUAGAGAAGAUAUUCUACUAGAAGAUUCCUCUGUGAGGCUGCUAGUACUUCUCCAGCAGACCAAGCCAGGAGAGCUUUCUGAAAGAUUUUACCAGAUUUUCCAGGGGUUCUCAAAGAUUGUCUGCAGAGCAGCACUGAUAAGUGAUUGCAGCUUCUUGAGUCUAUAGAGAGAGACCUUUAUGCUGUCUCUACUAGAAAGUAAUGCUUUUUUCCCUGAGAUUUUGUUCUUUUUUAAAAUUUUUAUGUGCUUUUAAAAUUUCAUGUGUGUGUUAACAUGUCCUUUCUUUACAGAAUGAUGAAGGCCAUAUGUAAAUUUCUGAAAAGAUUUGAAUGAUUUGAUUUGGCAAAAUAAAGAAUUGUCAAUCCUACAUAGAGCCCCGUACACCAAUUUUUAAAAAUAAUUUUGUUGCUUCACAAAAUCUGGGAACCACUGGAUAUAUGAAGUACCUCUUUUAGCAAAAGCAAAGUCAACUCUCACCCUAGGAAACAGUUCAUUUUUUGAUCUGUUUUUAUUUUUCUGUGGCAAAAAGGGCUUUUGUGGUGCCUCUUUGAAUAAAAG
This 1489-nucleotide long non-coding RNA is filed under the name Macaca fascicularis (crab-eating macaque). Its description in RNAcentral is "lncRNA (ENSMFAG00000060026.1)". The record is from RNAcentral. Lineage: Eukaryota; Metazoa; Chordata; Mammalia; Primates; Cercopithecidae.